GGAUGCGAUCAUACCAGCACUAAAGCACCGGAUCCCAUCAGAACUCCGAAGUUAAGCGUGCUUGGGCGAGAGUAGUACUAGGAUGGGUGACCUCCUGGGAAGUCCUUUGUUGCAUCGC
Oryza sativa Indica Group (long-grained rice) is the source of this 118-nucleotide ribosomal RNA. NCBI's taxonomy places the organism in Eukaryota, Viridiplantae, Streptophyta, Magnoliopsida, Poales, Poaceae. The record is from Rfam.